CCUACGGUGUGCAGCAGUGGGGGAUAUUGGUCAAUGGGGGAAACCCUGAACCAGCCAAGUAGCGUGAAGGAUGACUGCCCUACGGGUUGUACACUUCUUUUAUAAAGGAAUAAAGUGAGGCACGUGUGCCUUUUUGUAUGUACUUUAUGAAUAAGGAUCGGCUAACUCCGUGCCAGCAGCCGCGGUAAUACGGAGGAUCCGAGCGUUAUCCGGGUUUAUUGGGUUUAAAGGGAGCGUAGAUGGGUUGUUAAGUCAGUUGUGAAAGUUUGCGGCUCAACCGUAAAAUUGCAAUUGAUACUGGCAGCCUUGAGUAGAGUUGAGGUAGGCGGAAUUCGUGGUGUAGCGGUGAAAUGCUUAGAUAUCACGAAGAACUCCGAUUGCGAAGGCAGCUUACUAAACUGCCACUGACAUUGAUGCUCGAAAGUGUGGGUAUCAAACAGGAUUAGAUACCCCAGUAGUC
This 460-nucleotide ribosomal RNA is filed under the name uncultured bacterium. RNAcentral's name for it is "partial 16S ribosomal RNA". It matches the Rfam family "Bacterial small subunit ribosomal RNA", at positions 338 to 795 of the family's 1533-position model. The record is from RNAcentral.